This 71-nucleotide ribosomal RNA is filed under the name Methylophaga lonarensis MPL. RNAcentral's name for it is "partial 16S ribosomal RNA". Lineage: Bacteria; Pseudomonadati; Pseudomonadota; Gammaproteobacteria; Thiotrichales; Piscirickettsiaceae. The record is from RNAcentral.
AACUGAAGAGUUUGAUCAUGGCUCAGAUUGAACGCUGGCGGCAUGCCUAACACAUGCAAGUCGAACGCUGA